Molecule: ribosomal RNA, 254 nt
Filed under: uncultured bacterium
Lineage: Bacteria
Description: partial 16S ribosomal RNA
Rfam family: Bacterial small subunit ribosomal RNA
Source: RNAcentral
UACGUAGGGGGCAAGCGUUGUCCGGAUUUAUUGGGCGUAAAGAGCGUGUAGGCGGCUAGGUAGGUCCGUUGUGAAAACUCGAGGCUCAACCUCGAGACGUCGAUGGAAACCAUCUAGCUAGAGUCCGGAAGAGGAGAGUGGAAUUCCUGGUGUAGCGGUGAAAUGCGCAGAUAUCAGGAAGAACACCGGUGGCGAAGGCGGUUCUCUGGGCCUUACCUGACGCUGGAGGAGCGAAAGCGUGGGGAGCAAACAGG